AGCAGCCGCGGUAAUUCCAGCUCCAAUAGCGUAUAUUAAAGUUGUUGCAGUUAAAAAGCUCGUAGUUGAAUUUCGGGAUCAGUUGGUCGGUCGUGCCUCGGUACGUACUGGUCAAAUUGAUUCCUACCUUCUGACGAACCACGAUGUCAUUAAUUUGGUGUCGCGGGAAAUCAGGACUGUUACUUUGAAAAAAUUAGAGUGUUUAAAGCAGGCUCGCGCUUGAAUACAUUAGCAUGGAAUAAUGAAAUAGGACGUUUGAUUCUAUUUUGUUGGUUUCUAGGAUCGACGUAAUGAUUAAUAGGGAUAGUUGGGGGCAUUAGUAUUCAAUUGUCAGAGGUGAAAUUCUUGGAUUUAUUGAAGACUAACUACUGCGAAAGCAUUUGCCAAGGAUGUUUUCAUUAAUCAAGAACGAAAGUUAGGGGAUCGAAGACGAUCAGAUACCGUCGUAGUCUUAACCAUAAACUAUGCCGACUAGGGAUCGGAUGAUGUUAAUUU
This 495-nucleotide ribosomal RNA is filed under the name uncultured Glomus. Its description in RNAcentral is "SSU rRNA". It matches the Rfam family "Eukaryotic small subunit ribosomal RNA", at positions 569 to 1069 of the family's 1831-position model. Lineage: Eukaryota; Fungi; Glomeromycota; Glomeromycetes; Glomerales; Glomeraceae. The record is from RNAcentral.